This 361-nucleotide transfer-messenger RNA is filed under the name Desulfobacter sp. It matches the Rfam family "transfer-messenger RNA". From Rfam's summary of the family: Bacterial tmRNA, also known as 10Sa RNA or SsrA, is named for its dual tRNA and mRNA-like properties. Its role is to liberate the mRNA from a stalled ribosome. Lineage: Bacteria; Pseudomonadati; Thermodesulfobacteriota; Desulfobacteria; Desulfobacterales; Desulfobacteraceae. The record is from RNAcentral.
GGGGGCGAAAUGGUUUCGACGGAGAUUCUGAUGCCCAAGGUAGCAUACCGAGCGUUUUUUUGUCCGCUCGUAAAUCCGGCAGAAAAAAACAUAAUCGCAGACGAUUAUAAUUACGCUGUAGCUGCUUAAGGCGGCUUCCGUCCUCCUGAAAUCCCUCUUGCAGAUUUCAGAUCGGGGCGUCGACUCUUGCAAGACCGCCGAUAGGGGUUUCCUGAGCCCUUUAGGUUGAAUUUUUCAGGAUAUACCGAAGCGCAUCCAUCCUGAGGGAGACGCAACGGCCAAUUUUAAAGUUCAGGAUAAGUAUGUAGAAGCCUGGGUUGAUUGUUUUCGGACGCGGGUUCAACUCCCGCCGCCUCCACCA